GUGCAGUGAAAAAAGAUUUUUGUCAGUAAAAUGCUCUCUAUGGAAUCAUGAAUAAAACCAGACUUUCCUCAACCAGCUUGAGGAAAAUGAGGUUCCUUCAUGUGCCAGGGGAAGCCCAGGUGCCCUCCUGGCAGCACAGUGUAGAGGUUUGGAGCCCUGGUGCCAGCCCCAGAUGUGAAAGCUGUCCCUGCAAGGCAGACACAGGCACAGCACACGUCUCUUCCUGACCGCAGAGGCUCCAGCUUGGCUCAGUCACCUGCAGCCUGGGCAGAAGCAUUUCUUCUUUACCUGGACUUCAGCAGGGAGUCAGCAACCAUCAGGUGGUGGGACAAAGGUGAUGGCACUCUGGAUUGGAAAAAAGGCACAAAGAAAACCUUUUUGCCUUCCAUCAAAUCACUGCUGAGCCAGUUGAUCGAUUUCAGUCGAGUGGGACAGAAGGAGAGAGCUGAGAUACGAAGUUUAGGAAGAACACAGGUUCUCCAGUGUGUCCAAGGGGCCUGGAGGAGUGCUUUUACCAGUGAAGAUUGUCGAUAA
Molecule: long non-coding RNA, 534 nt
Filed under: Parus major (Great Tit)
Lineage: Eukaryota; Metazoa; Chordata; Aves; Passeriformes; Paridae
Description: lncRNA (ENSPMJG00000019350.1)
Source: RNAcentral